GACUCCAUGAAGUUGGAUUCGCUAGUAAUCGCGCAUCAGCCAUGGCGCGGUGAAUACGUUCCCGGGCCUUGUACACACCGCCCGUCAAGCCAUGGAAGCCGGGGUGCCUGAAGUCCGUAACCGCGAGGAUCGGCCUAGGGCAAAACUGGUAACUGGGGCUAAGUCGUAACAAGGUAAC
Molecule: ribosomal RNA, 178 nt
Filed under: uncultured bacterium
Lineage: Bacteria
Description: partial 16S ribosomal RNA
Rfam family: Bacterial small subunit ribosomal RNA
Source: RNAcentral